UUUGGGGACUGCUCCAGCAGUCAUCUUGCCACUAGUGAGAUCAUCAGCAUAACGAAACCUCUUCAUGGUUUUCCAAGAGCAGCUUUCUUCCCUAGUUUCGGCACCACUUAGCCCUUCUGCAAAUGCUUUUAAAAGUAGCCGUGUUGCACCCUUUCCUAAUCACAAACGCUGCUACAGUCUUCAUUCCUGUACAUAUAGUUCAGGUCAUUUGCACAGACCUUGCUACACUGUAGCCACCUGGCUGAGCAGGUGCCACAUUGUACAACUUGUAUAAUGCUUCUUCUGUGUGAGUAACGUCUGCGCCUGUGUCUUCUGCCUGCCCGGCACUAACUCACAGUACAAUGUAUUUCUCAAUUUUAUCGGUGCCCCUUCCUUCAUUAACUGCCUGCACAACUGACUUGCUCUUUAGGUGACCCGCUAAGAAGGGCAGUGCUGCUGACAGACAACAGAAGGCCUUGGUGGACCUGGUUCCACAUCUUUUGUCUCCUGAAUUGGACAGCUGGACUUCUGAGACAGCUUAAAGUCCUCUAAUACCUGUACAGUGCUUGCUCUCUGUGGUGACCUAGUCGCUAGGACCCAGGCAAGACAGGUCAGAGUAACCUCUUCGAUAGCUGUCAGCCCAGCCACUUAUCCUAGGGAAGGAAAACCUGGGGAGCUCUGGUCUCUUUUUCCUCUUCAACUUGCCUCUUUCCUGAUACAUCUUGAUUCGGCGGCGUUCAUAGGGUCUGAUGAGCACAGUCUAAUGCCAUUGCUUCCUCCUGCACAAUGGCGACUUGGCCUCUAAGUAACUGUCUUCAUUAGUGCUAUAGAGCACUCUACAUCAGUAUUUGUCUCUAUAUUAUUGCUUGGCAGGACUGACAAAGGCUAGAUCCUUAAACAUUAGCCCAUCUGAGACACGUCAUUGGAGCCCAUGGAAUCCUACACCUUGUACAGAUCCAGUCCUUUAGAGGCACUGGCUGAGGUUCCCUUGGUUCUUCCGUUGAAUCUCAGGGGGCAGUCUUUGAGCUCCUUGGUUUUUACAGCAACCAAGCAGAGUGGUUAUUAGAAAGUCAUUGUCUCGAUAAGCCCUUUCUGUGCAAAGAUUUUCUCCCAUUAGUGGCAUCACUGUCAGUUUCCACUUCUGAUGGCAUGAAAUGAACAUGUGGUUAGGCAGUCUGUUGGGUGGGGGUUAUCGGAAAACAGUUCCCUGGCUUUUCUUCGUUUUUGUUUCUGGCAUGAGCACUAAAUCCUGAGCCUUGGCACUGAGAUACGUGCCUUUAUUUCAUUCUACUUUAUUUUUUCCACUUCACUUCAUUCAUUUCAUUUCGAGACAGUCUUGCUAAGCCACUAAAUCGCCCAGGCUGGACUUGAAUUUGUGAUGCUCCUGCUUCAACUUCCCACAGUGCUGUCAUUACAGGUGCCUGCCACCACGCCAGGCCCAUUUUCUAUUCUGAGGCGCAUAAGUCUCAAUCCAGGCUGUGAGUCUUUCUUUGACUUGUCUAGUAUGCUGAGGAAUCUACAAUUUCCUGAUAUUUGAGAGUGCAGCAAAAGAAAAGCUUCCCACCUUGUCUUUCUGGUACUGGUUUAAAAUCUUAUGGCUCCAAGAGCUGCCAACUUCUACAAGAGGGGAAUAUCUGCAGUAAAAAUGAUCUCAGCACGCGGUUGCUGAGCUUCAGAUCCGGAAAUUCUCAACCUCUUUCAGCCAUCACCCAAAUCUCUACAAACUGACGGGUAUGAUGAAUCUGGAAACCAAGAAGGUGUUUCCUGUGGAGCCCAUUUGUCUUCUUCCUGCCCGGCACACGGUUGCGCAACAGGCUGAUCUGCGAGCCCAGCCAGGCAACACGCACACAGGGAAACAAACCAACCUCCACUGUGCACCUGCAGCUCCGCGGAAGACACGCGGAAUACGGGCCACGCCUCUACUGACUGAGAAGGUCGGGACCGAAGGGAGCCAGCCUCUCUGCCGGGGACUCCUCUCUCUGCGGGGCCCCACGAGCCUGGUCAGAGACCUGGAACCAAAGGGCCUGGGCGCCUCACCUCCUCACCCACCGAGAGCCAAGGCGGCGCUUUCUGAGCCCAAAGGGAACGGGACGCACGCGCCAGAGGAGCGCUUGUGCUGAGCUGAGGCGCCCACCGCGCUAGAUCAGGCCCGAGCACGGGCCAGUUUCCUGGGGGCCUGGCCUCGGAGCGCCGCGCACGGCGCAGGUGGAUCUUUCAAGACAGCCAUCCGCGCCCGCAAGAAAGUCAUUAGAAGGUCCCUGGUGGUCUAGUGGCUAGGAUUCGGCGCUUUCACCGCCGCGGCCCGGGUUCGAUUCCCGGUCAGGGAACACCUUUUGCCACACCUGCCAUCUGCGAACCUGGUGUGUCUCCAGGACCUUGGGCUGCACUGCUCUCGCUCCUCUGCUUGGGCGGUGCCUCUCCAGUCAACGACCUUCAGGGACCUUCCUGGACGACCAGGAGGUGCCCAAUGCCUUUCCGGCUGGCUCCUCAGGGUUGCUCUGAUGGACAACUGGGUCUUGGGUCAGCCAGAAGACCUCCGGAACCACCUAGGCAAGGGAAACUCUUCUGGGAAGUGCGGUGGCCCCUUGUGUUUGCCAGACUGUGUGCACCCUGCAGGGGUCUUCUUCAAGGGCUCUGAUCACCUCGCAGAAGCUGGAGAACCAGUGUGUGUGGCUGGCAAGGUGAGAGAGAGAAGAGCAUGCAGAGAAUGGAUCAAAGGAAACGAAGGGGAAGGUUCUCCACAGCUUUGCAGAGUGUUGUGGCGAUACAGGAGCUAAGGCCACAGAUGGGAAUCCUGAAGAUCACGGACUCCAUUAGUGGAUGUCAGGGAAUGCACCGUCAUACUGUCAUCUUCAGAAGUCGGAAAGCCGGAGCACUGUUUCCUCCAGCAACUUUAAUGGAGGCCUGAUGUUUUCCCGAGGGGCUCACGCAUCGGAAAGAAUGCUGUGGGGCUGGGGAUUUAGCUAAGCGGCGUAAGUGCCUGCCUUGCAAGCCUGUGGUUGUGUUUGAUCCCGGUACCAAUUCAAAAAAUAGUAAUAAUAAAAAAAAGAAAACUCUG
Cavia porcellus (domestic guinea pig) is the source of this 3037-nucleotide long non-coding RNA. RefSeq lists it as uncharacterized. The transcript is spliced from 5 exons. The record is from RefSeq and is a predicted model, not a curated record. Lineage: Eukaryota; Metazoa; Chordata; Mammalia; Rodentia; Caviidae.